RNAcentral lists this ribosomal RNA (468 nucleotides) under uncultured bacterium. RNAcentral describes it as "partial 16S ribosomal RNA". It matches the Rfam family "Bacterial small subunit ribosomal RNA", at positions 28 to 507 of the family's 1533-position model. The record is from RNAcentral.
GACGAACGCUGGCGGCGUGCUUAACACAUGCAAGUCGAACGGAAAGGCCCUGCUUUCGUGGGGUGCUCGAGUGGCGAACGGGUGCGUAACACGUGAGUAACCUGCCCUUGACUUUGGGAUAACUUCAGGAAACUGGGGUUAAUACCGGAUAGGAGCUCCCGCUGCAUGGUGGGGGUUGGAAAGUUUCGGCGGUUGGGGAUGGACUCGCGGCUUAUCAGCUUGUUGGUGGGGUAGUGGCUUACCAAGGCUUUGACUGGUAGCCGGCCUGUGAGGGUGACCGGCGACAUUGGGACUGAGGUACGGCCCAGACUCCUACGGGAGGCAGCAGUGGGGAAUAUUGCACAAUGGGCGGAAGCCUGAUGCAGCGGCGCCGCGUGCGGGAUGACGGCCUUCGGGUUGUAAACCGCUUUCGCCUGUGACGAAGCGUGAGUGACGGUAAUGGGUAAAGAAGCACCGGCUAACUACGUG